This is a non-coding RNA of Punica granatum (pomegranate), 1861 nucleotides long. The record is from RefSeq and is a predicted model, not a curated record. NCBI's taxonomy places the organism in Eukaryota, Viridiplantae, Streptophyta, Magnoliopsida, Myrtales, Lythraceae.
AGAAGGAAACCCUCCUGGCAUCACUGUAGCAGAGAAAAAUGUCUCCUUUCGCCGCUGGUCUCUCCCGCCACUAUCUGUCCUUGUCCCGACUCAUGGCUGUUCCCGGAAAAUCCAGCUCCCUCUGUGCCCACACGACCCGGGUGCCCGUUCAGCUGAGCGGGUUCAGGAGCUCCUCCUCAUCCUCUCAGGCUUGCUCCUUCCCGGCGAAUUCUGCCCGGGCAGUGGUGCUGAAUCAUUCUGGUCGCCCCGAAGCGGUACAUGGGCCGCUGUGCUUCGAUCAUUUCCUCCGUUUCUCGGCCGCCUCGGAUGUUGGUUCUAGUGGGGCUGGUGGUUAUGGCGGCUCCGGUGAUGGGAAUUCUGGGGGAAGAGGUGGUGGAGGUGAUGGUGGCGCUGGCGGAGAGAGUAGUGGCGGGAAUAACUGGUCUUUUCUCUCAUGGUAUUUGAGCGUUCUUGCCAAGUACCCUGUCUGGACAAAAGCUAUUACUUCUGCUUUGUUAACUUUUAUUGGAGAUUUGGUCUGUCAGGUUGUGAUUGAUCAGCUGCCAUCUCUAGACCUCAAGAGGCUUUUCUUGUUUACUUUUCUGGGGCUGGUUUUAGUGGGUCCAACACUACAUUUCUGGUACUUGUUUUUGAGUAAACUUAUAACCGUGCCAGGCACAUCGGGCGCUCUUAUGCGUCUCCUACUUGAUCAGUUCGUUUUCUCUCCCAUAUUCAUCGGGGUUUUCUUGUCCACGUUGAUCACACUGGAAGGAAGGCCCGCACAAGUUGUGCCCAAGCUUCAGCAGGAGUGGUUUUCUGCUGUGGUUGCAAAUUGGCAACUUUGGAUUCCUUUCCAGUUUCUUAAUUUCCGAUUCGUCCCCCAGCAAUUCCAGGUCCUGGCAGCUAAUUUCAUUUCUGUAGUGUGGAAUGUGAUUCUUUCCUUCAAAGCUCACAAAGAGAUUCUUCCAAAAUAAGGAUUGUCACAUUACGGCUUUGGCAACGAAACAAAGUAUACAAGAUCGUAUGGAUUUGCCGGUGAACUUUCCACUAGAUGCUGCCUAGCUCGCUGAGGAUUAGGUAAAUGUGCGUACAAGUUAGUCCUAGGUUAUUCGUAUGAGGCUAAUCCUUUCCCCCAGUUAAGGUUGCUUGUGUUCUUGGGUUUUGAUUCAACUGUGGCCCAAAGAAACAUACUUCCACCGUGCUAAAGCCCAAUACGAUAACAAAUAUCCCAUCGAAAUGGUCCAAAAUCGUCUCGUGUCCGGUAGAAUUUGUCGGGUAAGGGGCUUAUGAUGGGAGCCGUUAAGAAGGCAAUUAUAAAGGAAUACUAUGCUUGAAUAUGAUUUGGAUGAUGAGAUUAGAAUAUCAGUCCGAGGAUUCUACCACGGGUAGGAUUAGUUGCACUAAUUGAUUGUUGUAGGCCCUGUGGACAUUAUUGAUAGGCUUCAGCAAGUUGGCUGCUCUCGCCAUGUAUUUGAGGUUAGGCCAUGGCAAUUGUUACUCACAUAUAUUCAUAUAUACAUAUAUGUUUGUGACGACAAUGUGUCGCAAGCCAUAGGUCAUGGUGCUAAAGCUUAUCGGCAGCAAUGAAGCGUUAAGUGAAGACAAAAAACUCGAAAAAAGAGGUCCCCAGUGAUGCCUACUCUGAUAGCGACUGACGCAUGUCAGAGUACACGUCAUCACUCCCCUGACGCCGACCCCUCAACUACUAAUCCAAAACCUCUUUUUAAACUCCAUCUUGAGGGUACAUGGAGUCAAUACCGCCAUGGAUGAGUUGAUCGCCCCCUAAAAUUUUGAUGAUAUAAGUAAAUUUACAUACUCUUCUUUAAAAUUGCUUGUAUUCGUCCCUCCUAAUUUAGGAGAAGUAUUUUCUUAUUUGCUGUCA